AUUGAACGCUGGCGGCAGGCCUAACACAUGCAAGUCGAACGGUAACAGGAAGCAGCUUGCUGCUUCGCUGACGAGUGGCGGACGGGUGAGUAAUGUCUGGGAAACUGCCUGAUGGAGGGGGAUAACUACUGGAAACGGUAGCUAAUACCGCAUAACGUCGCAAGACCAAAGAGGGGGACCUUAGGGCCUCUUGCCAUCGGAUGUGCCCAGAUGGGAUUAGCUAGUAGGUGGGGUAGCGGCUCACCUAGGCGACGAUCCCUAGCUGGUCUGAGGGGAUGACCAGCCACACUGGAAGUGAGACACGGUCCAGACUCCUACGGGAGGCAGCAGUGGGGAAUAUUGCACAAUGGGCGCAAGCCUGAUGCAGCCAUGCCGCGUGUAUGAAGAAGGCCUUCGGGUUGUAAAGUACUUUCAGCGGGGAGGAAGGGAGUAAAGUUAAUACCUUUGCUCAUUGACGUUACCCGCAGAAGAAGCACCGGCUAACUCCGUG
Molecule: ribosomal RNA, 490 nt
Filed under: uncultured bacterium
Lineage: Bacteria
Description: partial 16S ribosomal RNA
Rfam family: Bacterial small subunit ribosomal RNA
Source: RNAcentral